UACGGAGGGGGCAAGCGUUACUCGGAAUUAUUGGGCGUAAAGGGCGCGUAGGCGGUCGUGCACGUCGGAGGUGAAAUCCCCGGGCUUAACCCGGGAGCUGCCUCCGAUACGGCAUGGCUUGAGUCCGGGAGAGGGGAGCAGAAUUCCCAGUGUAGCGGUGAAAUGCGUAGAUAUUGGGAGGAAUACCAGUGGCGAAGGCGGCUCCCUGGACCGGUACUGACGCUGAGGCGCGAAAGCGUGGGUAGCAAACAGG
This 253-nucleotide ribosomal RNA is filed under the name uncultured bacterium. RNAcentral describes it as "partial 16S ribosomal RNA". It matches the Rfam family "Bacterial small subunit ribosomal RNA", at positions 524 to 776 of the family's 1533-position model. The record is from RNAcentral.